Long non-coding RNA from Daphnia pulicaria, 736 nucleotides. RefSeq lists it as uncharacterized. Lineage: Eukaryota; Metazoa; Arthropoda; Branchiopoda; Diplostraca; Daphniidae. The transcript has 5 exons. The record is from RefSeq and is a predicted model, not a curated record.
UCUAAGACCAGUCCUUUAGAUAUUGAGUUUUGAACGUGUCAAAUAGAUGGCGUGAAAGAAUGUUGUUUGUUGUGUCACAUAUGGGCUAAUGGCGGUUCGUUGUCAAAAGUUCAAAUACAGCUAUCUUCUUCGAAAAUUACCAAUGAAUUCGUUGGAAAAAAAGUGAAAGGUGCAUAAAGCCAGUACUGUCAACUAUUGUGUUAAUAAUCCUGGACAGAAUAUGUCAUCCAAAUGACAGAGUGGAUUCAUCACUAUUAUUGGCUGAAUCAUUCUAUGGGACUUGCCAGAUCACCAACCAAAGCAUGGACCAAUUUCUCAUUCCAUCUUCUAGAGAACCUUACAUAACCGAUUGGUGGUUUAGUGUGUUUUAGGUUUCUAAUGUAGCAUGAUAGACUUUAUGAGAAGUCAUGUUGUUUGAAGAUAAAGGACUAUACAGUUGACAAGGUUCUUUGCUAACCCGUUGGCUGCUACCCUUGAAUCUCCCUGUUUACUUCCUUACACGGGUCCUCUUGAUUUGAGGGUAAUCCUUCGCUACUGAUCACACCCACUGGUGAAAACCGACGAGACAAUGCUGUAAUCCAAGACUGAUACAUUGUGUAGUUGUUAGAUAAAUGACAAGUGCAUAUCUGGGCUCCCCUCUUUUCUGUGGCCCCGUUUCCCUAACUAACCACUAACCAACGCCCGCCGGUGGUCACUCACCCGCUGUGAAACCAGGAGGAGGGGAGGGCUCUGGUCG